GACGAACGCUGGCGGCGUGCCUAAUACAUGCAAGUCGAACGAGAGCGACCGGUGCUUGCACUGGUCAAUCUAGUGGCGAACGGGUGAGUAACACGUGGGUAACCUGCCCAUCAGAGGGGGAUAACAUCCGGAAACGGAUGCUAAAACCGCAUAGGUCUUCGAACCGCAUGGUUUGAAGAGGAAAAGAGGCGCAAGCUUCUGCUGAUGGAUGGACCCGCGGUGCAUUAGCUAGUUGGUGAGGUAACGGCUCACCAAGGCCGUGAUGCAUAGCCGACCUGAGAGGGUGGUCGGCCACAUUGGGACUGAGACACGGCCCAAACUCCUACGGGAGGCAGCAGUAGGGAAUCUUCCGCAAUGGACGCAAGUCUGACGGAGCAACGCUGCGUGAGUGAAGAAGGUUUUCGGAUCGUAAAACUCUGUUGUUAGAGAAGAACAAGUGCUAGAGUAACUGUUAGCGCCUUGACGGUAUCUAACCAGAAAGCCACGGCUAACUACGUG
RNAcentral lists this ribosomal RNA (498 nucleotides) under uncultured bacterium. Its description in RNAcentral is "partial 16S ribosomal RNA". It matches the Rfam family "Bacterial small subunit ribosomal RNA", at positions 28 to 507 of the family's 1533-position model. The record is from RNAcentral.